Molecule: ribosomal RNA, 253 nt
Filed under: uncultured bacterium
Lineage: Bacteria
Description: partial 16S ribosomal RNA
Rfam family: Bacterial small subunit ribosomal RNA
Source: RNAcentral
UACAGGGGGGGCAAGCGUUGUUCGGAAUUACUGGGCGUAAAGGGCCCGUAGGCGGCCAACUAAGUCACACGUGAAAUCCCCAGGCUUAACCUGGGAACUGCGUGUGAUACUGGAUGGCUUGAAUUCGGGAGAGGGAUGCAGAAUUCCAGGUGUAGCGGUGAAAUGCGUAGAUAUCUGGAGGAAUACCGGUGGCGAAGGCGGCAUCCUGGACCGAGAUUGACGCUGAACGGCGAAAGCUAGGGGAGCAAACGGG